CCCCGAGACCUCCUCGUCAGGGCUGGCCUGGUGCCUAGGUGCCAGCCCAGGGCGACGACGGGCAGCAGUGAGGGGCGGGAGGCCCGGCGUGUUCCCGUAUUUAUUUAUUUAUUUGAGGACCCAGCGUUUACACAUACCUGGCUCUGAUUACUCCCCCAGGGCCGGGAGGAGGGGGACGCUGCAGCCUGGGCCUUUGAUGUGCCAGAGGAGAGAUGGGGAGAUGGUGCUGGGAGUCCUCGUCCCCGCCGCCGCUGCGGGGUGUGUGCGCGUGGGGGGAGCCCUGUGAUGUCACCCCAGGAGGCCGAGGAUGGCAGGCGCCACGGCCAGGCCCAGGAAGAGAGAGGGAGACACAGAAUCCGAAGCAGGCUCCAGGCUCUGAGCGGUCAGCACAGAGCCCGACGCGGGGCUCGAACUCACGAACCGUAAGAUCAUGACCUGAGCUGAAGUCGGAAGCUCAACCGACUGAGCCACCCGAGCGCCCCAUCGCCCUGUUUUCUGUUCAUCUGAACCCCAUUUGCAUAAACCUGUAUGGAGCAUCUAGUGUUCUCUCUGAUUCUCUGUUGAGCUGCUUUGCUUGGAUUUCUGGGAAAUCGGGUGCAAUGGACAGAGACCAUGUCCUGUCUCUGUGACCCCAUCACCCGGCACAGGGCCUGGGACAGACGCUGUGCCCUGUAAACAUAAUGGCGGAGAAGGGGAGUCGGUGGGCACCUGGAGAGAAGGGGGAGGCAGGAGGGGAGUGCCUGGGGGUGGCGGCUGAUUGGGGGUGGUGCGGCAUCAGGGAGGGAGGUGAGUCAAUGUCCGCAUCCAUAGAUUCAUCGAAAUGGUGAAGUGGGGUCCCAGAGGGGUGUGACGGCUGCUCAAGUUCAUACAGCUCGUUCUGUGGCAGGGUUCAGACCCAAGCCCUUGACUUCUGACUCCUGCGCUGCCAGGCUGAUGCUGGAGAGGUUGGGAGGUAGGAGCUGAGGGCGAAGGUGGGGGUGGGGGCGGGGGGAGGGGUGGGGAGGGGAGGGCU
This 1012-nucleotide long non-coding RNA is filed under the name Felis catus (domestic cat). Its description in RNAcentral is "lncRNA (ENSFCAG00000053167.1)". The record is from RNAcentral. Lineage: Eukaryota; Metazoa; Chordata; Mammalia; Carnivora; Felidae.